RNAcentral lists this ribosomal RNA (2281 nucleotides) under Streptococcus suis. Its description in RNAcentral is "bacterial LSU rRNA". It matches the Rfam family "Bacterial large subunit ribosomal RNA", at positions 14 to 2318 of the family's 2925-position model. Lineage: Bacteria; Bacillati; Bacillota; Bacilli; Lactobacillales; Streptococcaceae. The record is from RNAcentral.
AGGGCGCACGGUGGAUGCCUUGGCACUAGAAGCCGAAGAAGGACGUGACUAACGACGAAAUGCCUUGGGGAGCUGUAAGUAAGCAAUGAUCCAGGGGUGUCCGAAUGGGGGAACCCGGCAGGUAAAGCCUGUCACUCACUACUGUUAAGGUAGUGAAGAGGAAGACGCAGUGAACUGAAACAUCUAAGUAGCUGCAGGAAGAGAAAGCAAAAGCGAUUGCCUUAGUAGCGGCGAGCGAAACGGCAGGAGGGCAAACCGAGGAGUUUACUCCUCGGGGUUGUAGGACUGCAAAGUGGACUUAAAGAGUAUAGAAGAACUACCUGGGAAGGUAGGCCAAAGAGAGUAACAGCCUCGUAUUUGAAAUAGUCUUUAUACCUAGCAGUAUCCUGAGUACGGCGAGACACGCGAAAUCUCGUCGGAAUCUGGGAGGACCAUCUCCCAACCCUAAAUACUCUCUAGUGACCGAUAGUGAACCAGUACCGUGAGGGAAAGGUGAAAAGAACCCCGGAAGGGGAGUGAAAUAGAACCUGAAACCGUGUGCCUACAACAAGUUCGAGCCCGUUAAUGGGUGAGAGCGUGCCUUUUGUAGAAUGAACCGGCGAGUUACGAUAUGAUGCGAGGUUAAGUUGAAGAGACGGAGCCGUAGGGAAACCGAGUCUUAAUAGGGCGGAUUAGUAUUAUGUCGUAGACCCGAAACCAUGUGACCUACCCAUGAGCAGGUUGAAGGUGCGGUAAGACGCACUGGAGGACCGAACCAGGGCACGUUGAAAAGUGCUUGGAUGACUUGUGGGUAGCGGAGAAAUUCCAAACGAACUUGGAGAUAGCUGGUUCUCUCCGAAAUAGCUUUAGGGCUAGCGUCGACAUUGAGAAUCUUGGAGGUAGAGCACUGUUUGGAUGAGGGGGCCAUCUCGGUUUACUGAUUUCAGAUAAACUCCGAAUGCCAAAGAUUUAUGGUCGGCAGUCAGACUGCGAGUGCUAAGAUCCGUAGUCGAAAGGGAAACAGCCCAGACCACCAGCUAAGGUCCCAAAAUAAUUGUUAAGUGGAAAAGGAUGUGGGGUUGCACAGACAACUAGGAUGUUAGCUUAGAAGCAGCUAUUCAUUCAAAGAGUGCGUAAUAGCUCACUAGUCGAGUGACCCUGCGCCGAAAAUGUACCGGGGCUAAAACAAUUUACCGAAGCUGUGGAUAACACGAAAGUGUUAUGGUAGGAGAGCGUUCUAUGUGUGAAGAAGGUAUACCGUGAGGAGUGCUGGAACGCAUAGAAGUGAGAAUGCCGGUAUGAGUAGCGCAAGAUGGGUGAGAAUCCCAUCCACCGUAAGACUAAGGUUUCCAGGGGAAGGCUCGUCCGCCCUGGGUUAGUCGGGACCUAAGGAGAGACCGAAAGGUGUAUCCGAUGGACAACAGGUUGAUAUUCCUGUACUAGUGUAUAUAGUGAUGGAGGGACGCAGUAGGCUAACUAAAGCGGGCGAAUGGAAGAGCCCGUCUAAGCAGUGAGGUGUGAUAUGAGUCAAAUGCUUGUAUCUGUAACAUUGAGCUGUGAUGGGGAGCGAAAUUAAGUAGCGAAGUUAGUGACGUCACACUGCCAAGAAAAGCUUCUAGCGAUAAGUAUACACUACCCGUACCGCAAACCGACACAGGUAGUCGAGGCGAGUAGCCUCAGGUGAGCGAGAGAACUCUCGUUAAGGAACUCGGCAAAAUGACCCCGUAACUUCGGGAGAAGGGGUGCUGACUUUUAGUCAGCCGCAGUGAAUAGGCCCAAGCAACUGUUUAUCAAAAACACAGCUCUCUGCUAAAUCGUAAGAUGAUGUAUAGGGGGUGACGCCUGCCCGGUGCUGGAAGGUUAAGAGGAGGGUUUAGCGUAAGCGAAGAUCUGAAUUGAAGCCCCAGUAAACGGCGGCCGUAACUAUAACGGUCCUAAGGUAGCGAAAUUCCUUGUCGGGUAAGUUCCGACCCGCACGAAAGGCGUAAUGAUUUGGGCACUGUCUCAACGAGAGACUCGGUGAAAUUUUAGUACCUGUGAAGAUGCAGGUUACCCGCGACAGGACGGAAAGACCCCAUGGAGCUUUACUGCAGUUUGAUAUUGAGUAUCUGUACCACAUGUACAGGAUAGGUAGGAGCCUAUGAAAUCGGGACGCCAGUUUCGAUUGAGGCGCUGUUGGGAUACUACCCUUGUGUUAUGGCUACUCUAACCCGGUAGGUUCAUCAUCUACGGAGACAGUGUCUGACGGGCAGUUUGACUGGGGCGGUCGCCUCCUAAAAGGUAACGGAGGCGCCCAAAGGUU